Molecule: ribosomal RNA, 389 nt
Filed under: uncultured soil bacterium
Lineage: Bacteria
Description: bacterial SSU rRNA
Rfam family: Bacterial small subunit ribosomal RNA
Source: RNAcentral
AGAGUGAACGCUGGCGGUAGGCCUAACACAUGCAAGUCGAACGGCAGCACAGUAGGAGCUUGCUCUUACGGGUGGCGAGUGGCGGACGGGUGAGGAAUACAUCGGAAUCUACCUUUUGGUGGGGGAUAACGUAGGGAAACUUACGCUAAUACCGCAUACGCCCUUCGGGGGAAAGCCGGGGACCAGCAAUGGCCUGGCGCUGAUAGAUGAGCCGAUGUCGGAUUAGCUAGUUGGUGAGGUAAUGGCUCACCAAGGCGACGAUCCGUAGCUGGUCUGAGAGGAUGAUCAGCCACACUGGAACUGAGACACGGUCCAGACUCCUACGGGAGGCAGCAGUGGGGAAUAUUGGACAAUGGGCGCAAGCCUGAUCCAGCCCAUACCGCGUGGGG